GCUAUGUGGAAAUGAAGCGCAGCCUUGCUGCAGCCUCUGUGGGGGAGCUGACGUGGGGGCCUGGGCCUGGGCAGGGUGUGAGGAGUCCAGGGUUUCCAGGCAUGAAGAAUCAAGGCUGGCAGAACCUCCGUGGCCACGACAGUCUUAUUCUCUCUGGAAGGACUUGUGGGUGUCUGAGGUACAAGUCAGGAAGACUGAUGGGAUGGAGAGCUAUUGGAAAAAGCUACUGACAAGGUAACACCACUGACCACAGCAAAAGUUGCACAGCACAGCCAACAGGAAAGAGGAAGACAAACAAUGUGAAUCAACACAGAAUGCUGGUCAGAAUGCAGAAGAUACAUUGCCAUGAACUGCUCAUGCUAGAAAUAUUGAGUGAAAAAUGGGAAUUUGCCAGAAAGCAACAUUAAAAAUAAAGUCCGACCCCAUUCUGCCUGACCAGAACACAGCACUAGGAGUUGUGCUGCCCAUUCUCAGUAAGUGACAAACAAAAUAAAGAUUGGUAUGAAUGAUGAAAAGAAGGAAAGCUCCACGAAAAGAUAUCAGGAGAAGACUCCAGGGACAUCUGAUCAAGCCAUCUCAGAACAGGACCACAGGAAUGGAGGUUACAAGGCAGACUUAUCCAUGAGCUAUUUGACCCAGCCACACCAACUGCAUUUUAAAGAGGGAUGAUGAGG
Long non-coding RNA from Gallus gallus (chicken), 674 nucleotides. The record is from Ensembl. NCBI's taxonomy places the organism in Eukaryota, Metazoa, Chordata, Aves, Galliformes, Phasianidae.